RNAcentral lists this ribosomal RNA (456 nucleotides) under uncultured bacterium. Its description in RNAcentral is "bacterial SSU rRNA". It matches the Rfam family "Bacterial small subunit ribosomal RNA", at positions 28 to 505 of the family's 1533-position model. The record is from RNAcentral.
GAUGAACGCUAGCGGAACGCCUAACACAUGCAAGUCGAACGAGAAUCUAUCUUCGGAUAGAGGAAAGUGGCGAACGGGCGAGUAACGCGUGUCUAACCUGCCCCAGAGUAGUUGACAACUAUGGAGACAUAGCUAAUCAACUAUACGCCCCUAUGAAUGAGAAUAGUAGGGGGAAAGAUUUAUCGCUCAGGGAGGGGGAUGCGUCCUAUCAGUUAGUUGGUGAGGUAACGGCUCACCAAGACUAUGACGGGUAGCCGGUCUGAGAGGAUGUCCGGCCGCAAUGGAACUGAGACACGGUCCAUACUCCUACGGGAGGCAGCAGUGGGGAAUAUUGCGCAAUGGACGAAAGUCUGACGCAGCGAUUCCGCGUGGAGGAUGAAGCAUUAAGGUGUGUAAACUUCUUUUCUGGAGGAAGACGAAUGACGGUACUCCAGGAAUAAGGGACGGCUAACUACG